AAUAAAAAAGAAAAAAAACCUUCAAAUACCACCCGUGUGGUUUCGCAUUUUUUUAUUUUAAUACCUUAUGGUUUAAAGUGUAUCAAUUUAGUACCCUGUGAUUUUAUUUUUCUCGUUUUAUUAUCUAUUUUUACUUUUUUUUUUUCGUUAAAUCAAUAACAAAGUUAAAACUAAAGGGUACAAAAGUGAAUAUUCGAUAAAUCUAGGUAGGGCAUCUGAAGUUUGUUGUAUAUUAAAGGAGGAGCUGACGAAAAGAGAAAAAUGAAACCACAUGGUACUAAUUUGAUACACUUUAAAUCAUAGAAUACUAAAGUAAGAAAGUGCGAAAUCAUAAGGAUGAUAUUUGAAGUUUACCCAAGACAUUCUCUCUGCAACUCGUUGAGUUCCAAUUAUUCAUAUUCCCUUCUUAUUCCUACGUUUUUGCCUUUAUUAAUCAAUGUUAUUUUCAAAUCAUGUUCUACAAUGAUGAUGUUGGGUCAUGUACUCAUUUGUGGUCCGUCCGGCUUCGGCUUUCUAUGGGCUUAAAGAGUGAUUGAGAACACUUUAAAUCACAUAGUAUUAAAGUGAAAAAGGAUGAAACCACAGAAGUGAUAUUUGAAGUUUACCCAAGACAUUCUCUCCGCAACUCGUUGAGUUCCAAUUAUUCAUAUUCCCUUCUUAUUCCUACAUUUUUGCCUUUAUUAAUCAGCGUUAUUUUCGUUUCUUUUUUUUUUGAGAGAGAUAGGAAGCACGCUACCCGCUUCAUCUAUUUCAUUUAGAAAUAUUAGCUGAAAAUGUGAAUCAACUAGGAUUCGAACUUGGGACCUCGGGUACCAACUACCAAGCCCUUUGACACUUGCUCUAGGGACGGUCGGUUAAUGAGCGUUAUUUCCAAAUCAUGUUCUAUAAUUGUUGGGAAUCCGGUACUUGCCCCGGUACCGGAUCUUGUGAAUCCGCAACCAGCUCCGAUACCGACUGCUGUGGAUCCGGUACUGAUGGUUGGGAUUUCGCAACGGAAACAUCAAGUCGGGUUUUUACCAUAAACCCGUCUACUCAGCAAAAGCUGAUACAAUCAUAAAAGAGAAAAAUAUGCAGGUAAAAUAAGAUUCAUUAAAUAAGAGAAGAUUACACCUGACUCCUCUUCUGCACAGAGUAGCUACAACCCGAGCCCUCUUUCUGAAUCUCUUCUACCUUCUCUCGUCUUCUAUAACACCCAAAAAAGACAACCUUUCCACGUGCACCCGUGCACAAGGUGCACUCAAAGAAUGGCUAUUCUCUCUCUCUCUCUCUUUUUCUCUUUGGUAGGGUAGCCCAAAAGCUCCAGCAGUACUUCCCCAAAAACAAACCCAUCAAGAGCUAUUUAUAAAGCUCUACCAAAAUGUACCCCAAUCCUAAUAUAUUUAGGAUUCCGACUUUAAUUAAUAUCUAAAUCUAUCUUAAUUAAUCUCUAAUAGAUUUAAAUAUUAAUCCUAAUCUAGUAGGUUUAUUCUCUAAUUAAUAUUUAAAUCUUAAUUUAUCUCCAACAAAUUUAAAUAUUAAUUCUUAUCUAAAUAGGAUUCAACUACAAAUCUAACCAAAUCCUAAUAAUCUCCACCUUGGUUGGAUUUGUAAUCUUUAACCGCUACGUUGAGCUCACCAUGCAAGCUCCACCUUGAACUUGUCUCCUCCGCUCGAUGUCGCCGCAUCCGUCGCUCCGCCUCGAGCGACUGCAUUUCCGCGAACUUUUGGAACCCAAACCGUCUUCCCUUUCGUUCUAACUAUGCUCCCGUUCAGAACGUAUAAGUUCCCACGCUUGUUCGCCUCACACACGACUCGAUCUCGCUUUCGGACCCUCAUAGCUCUACCUGAAGCCGAAAUAUCGCAACCCUUCGAGUCCAACGCGCCUAACGAGAUCAAAUUUCGUCUUAAUCCAGGAACGUGUCGCAUACCUGUCAGCGUCCUCACGAUCCCAUCGUGCAUUCAGAUCUUCAUCGUGCUGUUGGGAUCAAAAAAUUUUGAAAUUUAAAAUUCAAAUUGAGAAUAUAGAUGGAAGGGAAUUGACGCGAUUAAUGGUUGCCUUAGAUGACCAACUAUUAAAAGGAAA
Molecule: long non-coding RNA, 2062 nt
Filed under: Ananas comosus (pineapple)
Lineage: Eukaryota; Viridiplantae; Streptophyta; Magnoliopsida; Poales; Bromeliaceae
Description: long non-coding RNA (ACOM_LNC031914)
Source: RNAcentral